UACGAAGGGGGCUAGCGUUGUUCGGAAUUUCUGGGCGUAAAGGGCGCGUAGGCGGUACUUCAAGUCAGGCGUGAAAGCCCCGGGCUCAACCUGGGAACCGCGCUUGAGACUGGAGAACUCGAGUUCGGGAGAGGAUGGUGGAAUUCCCAGUGUAGAGGUGAAAUUCGUAGAUAUUGGGAAGAACACCGAUGGCGAAGGCAGCCAUCUGGACCGACACUGACGCUGAGGCGCGAAAGCGUGGGGAGCAAACGGG
RNAcentral lists this ribosomal RNA (253 nucleotides) under uncultured bacterium. RNAcentral describes it as "partial 16S ribosomal RNA". It matches the Rfam family "Bacterial small subunit ribosomal RNA", at positions 524 to 776 of the family's 1533-position model. The record is from RNAcentral.